This 253-nucleotide ribosomal RNA is filed under the name uncultured bacterium. RNAcentral describes it as "partial 16S ribosomal RNA". It matches the Rfam family "Bacterial small subunit ribosomal RNA", at positions 524 to 776 of the family's 1533-position model. The record is from RNAcentral.
UACGUAGGGUCCGAGCGUUGUCCGGAAUUACUGGGCGUAAAGAGCUCGUAGGUGGUUUGUCGCGUUGUUCGUGAAAACUCACAGCUUAACUGUGGGCGUGCGGGCGAUACGGGCAGACUGGAGUACUGCAGGGGAGACUGGAAUUCCUGGUGUAGCGGUGGAAUGCGUAGAUAUCGGGAAGAACACCAGUGGCGAAAGCGGCUCUCUGGGGACCACCUGACGCUGAGGCGCGAAAGCGUGGGGAGCGAACCGG